Molecule: long non-coding RNA, 491 nt
Organism: Hibiscus syriacus
Lineage: Eukaryota; Viridiplantae; Streptophyta; Magnoliopsida; Malvales; Malvaceae
Exons: 3
Source: RefSeq, a predicted model, not a curated record
CUUCGGCGACUUUGCUCUCAAUUCGUUUUCUCUGAAUCAAUUCACAAAAUGAAACCUUAGUCAAUUUGAUCUUAACGUCGGUUUCCCCUUUUGCGUCCCCUUAAAAAUGUAGGUUUAUAGAGGAUUAAUUUGAAAUCUUGCAAUAAAGUCUUUGGGGAUUGUUUAGUAAUAUUGGACAAAAUUUUGCUGGACUGAACUUGAACUUGAAUCUGAGGAGCAGUGGGAUUAAAACAGAGUAACGUAAGAGGAAAGGAUGCAUUCUUUUGGGUACAGAUUAAAUGGCCUGCUAACAUUUUCCGUGACAAUUCUGGCACUAAUGUGCGCCAUCACGUCUCUCUCGGACAACUUCAACACUCUCUCUCCCUCUGCAGAAAUCCAGAUUAUGAACAUUAAUUGGUUCCAAUAGCAGCCACAAGGGCAUGAAGAGGUCAGCCUAACGAUGAAUGUAUCAGCUGAUUUGCAGUCGUUGUUUACUUGGAACACAAAACAGG